GACGAAGGGGGCUAGCGUUGUUCGGAAUUACUGGGCGUAAAGCGUGCGCAGGCGGUUGUGCAAGACAGAUGUGAAAUCCCCGGGCUUAACCUGGGAAUUGCAUUUGUGACUGCACGGCUAGAGUGUGUCAGAGGGGGGUAGAAUUCCACGUGUAGCAGUGAAAUGCGUAGAUAUGUGGAGGAAUACCGAUGGCGAAGGCAGCCCCCUGGGAUAACACUGACGCUCAUGCACGAAAGCGUGGGGAGCAAACAGG
RNAcentral lists this ribosomal RNA (253 nucleotides) under uncultured bacterium. RNAcentral describes it as "partial 16S ribosomal RNA". It matches the Rfam family "Bacterial small subunit ribosomal RNA", at positions 524 to 776 of the family's 1533-position model. The record is from RNAcentral.